GCUGCAGGACGUUACUCCACAGCCUGGUGGUCAUCCAGCGGAAGGUGCGUGGCCACUUGUGUCGCCGGCAGUUUGCGCGCUGCCGACGAGCGGCCGUCCUGCUGCAGAGACGCUGGCGACUGGUCCUGGGGCUCCGCGCUGAGCGGAGAGAGGCAGAGCGGAGAGAGGAGGAGGAGCGGCGAGAGGAGGAGGCCAGGGUCGCGGAGGAGCGGAAGGUUGAUGACACGAGCGAUGACGAGAGCAGCUUUGGGGUGAAUCUCCCUGAGAGACCACCGUCUCCACCGUCUCCACCAUCUUCACCGUCUCUGGCCCAGCCAGAAUGGCCGGAGCCGCCACCGCCGGUAUGGCCGGAGCCGGAGCAGGAAUGGCCGGUGCCAGAGCGGACACAAGCGGAGCAGGACUGGCCGGAGCCGGAGCGGGAAUGGCCGGAGCCGGAGCGGACACAAGCGGAGCAGG
Molecule: long non-coding RNA, 456 nt
Organism: Leucoraja erinaceus (little skate)
Lineage: Eukaryota; Metazoa; Chordata; Chondrichthyes; Rajiformes; Rajidae
Exons: 3
Source: RefSeq, a predicted model, not a curated record